AUCAACAUACAAUUUAGCACGGAAAUUUCAAAAAUGAAACAGCAUGAUAUGAAUGUAUGUGUUUUAAGUAUUAAUUACAUUGAUGUGUUACCAUGUAUGUACUUAGGUAAGUCAUGUAUCUAUUGUAAGUUGAAAAGAGGAGUCCAUGGCUACCAGAAACUCAAUUUUGGAUCUGGACCAAUUUCCAUUUGGACACAUGUUUGGACAUUUGGACCAAUUUCAAUCAUCAAACUACCUUAAUAAGUAUUAGACACAUGUUUGGACAUUCCACUUGCAAGUGUUUUAUUUUGGUCACUAGUCUAUUUUUUGUUGUAGACCUGGCACUCAAUUUUCAUUUACUUACUCCAUCAGUCACUACAGUCAAUUCACUACGAUGAAAAUAACAGAAUAUGCACGCGGAGGAGUGAUUUCCUACAUGCAUAAGCUCAAUAAUUAUUUAACAACUGUCAACCGGUAGGGAUAAGAAAUAAGUCCGUCCUCCAAUUGCAUGUUCUGUUAGUUUUCACACAAUUGAUUGCAUUGACUAAUGGAGUAAGUAAAUGAAGUUGCGUGAUAAAUUUGCAAAAAAAUAGAUGAGUGACCAAAAAAAAAAAGCACAAACAUAAGCUGAGUUCCUAAACAUGUUUUUAUACCAUAUACUAACUAUUAAGUGCAUCACAGUUUAAGAGUUGUAAUCCAAGUUCUCCUCCCAUGAACUUCACAUAAAGAGAAUCCCGAGUUUUACUUAGACUUGUAUUCAUUUGUGUUCAAUAAGGGACAGAAGGGACUAUCACAUAAUAAAAGGUGCAUUAUAUGCAUAAUGAAGGAGUUUGAUGAUUGAAAAGUGGAGAUUCUGAAAUCAGAAUGGUUUUUCUGUUUUUCUUAAAUUCUGUACUGUACAAUGUUCCCUAUUUGUAGUUUAAAGAUGUAAGGAAAAAGGGAAAUACAAUUAUCCCACAAUGUCUACAAAUCUGCAACAAAUCAAUCAAUAUAUUCUAACUAUGGAAAGGGGGAUCCUUAACAACUAUUCUCAAUCAAUUUUGGAUUUGAACACUUCCCCGCAAGUUGGAUCGUAAAUGUUGAUUGUAUCUAAUUUGCAAAUGAAAUCAUCAAAUUUCUGUCUAGGUAGUCCUUUGGUGAAGACAUCCGUAGUUUGUUCCAAUGUGGGGCAUAGGUCAUACAAAUAAUUCCUUCUUCUACCUUUUCAUUUAUAAAGUGUCUGUCCACCUCUACAUGUUUUGUUCAAUCAUGCUAAGUAGGAUUAAGGGAAAUAUUGAUUGCUGCUUUAAUAUCAUAAUAGAGUUUGAUUGGAAACUUUAUUGUGACAUGUAAUUUUUCCAUGAGCUUUCUCAACCAGAGUCCUUCACAUAAUCCUUGUGCAACAGCUCUAAACUCAGCUUCAGCACUACUUCUAACCACUAUAUUUUGUUUCUUGCUCUUCCACAUUACUAGACUUCCCCAUACAAAGGUACAGUGACCAAUAGUUAACUUUCUAUGGUCAAUCAAUCUUGUCCAAUUCACAUCUGUGAAGAUUUCAACCUCCUUCCUUUCACCCUUUUUAAAGAGUAGUCAUUCUCUCGCGGAGCCCUUGAGGUACCUGAGUAUCUUAUAGACAACUUCUAGGUGACUUUAUUUUGGAGAAUGCAUGUGUUAGCUUAAUUAACUAACGCAAAUGCAAUGUCUGGUCUGGUGCUUGACAAGUAGAUAAGUUUUCCAGCUAAUCUUAGAUAUCUAUCAACUUCUACUGAAUUUCCUCCAUCUUCAGUUUUCUUUCCACAUCCACGUAGGAUAUCACUUGGUUUACAUCCUAACAUGUCAGUUUCGAUAAGAAGUUCGAGGACAUAUUUUCAUUGUGAUACGCUGAUGCCACUUCCAUUUCCAGAAAUAUCGCGUUAAUCCCAAAUCCUUUACUUCAAGUUCGGUGGCUAGGGUCUUCUUUAGUCUUUCCAUCUCUACUAUAUUAUCACGAUAAUAUCAUUGACAUAUACGAUUAAUAUCAUUUUAGUACCAUCUUCAAAUUGUCGGAUAAACAUAGUGUGCUCUGACUGUCCUUAGGAAUAUCCUUGACUUUUCAAUAGUUUUGCAAAUCUGUCUAAUCAUGCUCUUGGUGACGGUUUAAGUUCGUAUAAAGACCUUUUUAGUUUACAUACUCAGGUUUUUUCCAUUUACUUUGCAAAAGUUUGGCGGUAGUGUCAUGAAAACUUCUUCAUCCAAUUCUCCAUUCAAAAAUGCAAUUUUAAUGUCAAGUAGUUGAAGUGGCCAAUCCAAAUCGGCUGCUAAUGAUAGAAGACUCGAAUUGUAUUCAACUUUGCUGCUAGUGCAAAUGUUUUUGUAUAGUCAAUGCUGUAGGUUUACGUGUAACCCUUUGCAACUAACCGAAUUUUAUACCUUUCUAUUAUCCGGUGGCUUUGUAUUUUAAGUUAAAUACCCAUUGGCACCCAACUGGUUUCUUUCCUUUUGGUAGAUCAAUUACCUCCCAAGUUUCAUUUUUUCAGUGCGGGCAUUUCCUCCAAUACUGCUUCUCUCCAUUUUGAAAUUUUCAAGGCUUCCUAAAUAUCUCUUGGAAUUUUUGCACUGUCAAGGCUAGAUGUAAAAUCACGAGCUCCUAUCGAUAGAGUAUUAUAGGACAUAAAUUUUGAAAUAGAAUGGAGAGUAGAUGAUCGAGUUUGUUUUCUAAGAGCAAUAGGUAGGUUAACAUCAGAGAUUCUUGAUAGCUGAAAAGGAUUUGGAACUAUUAUCGGUUCUAAUUCUCUUGGUGCUUCGGGUGUGAGAUUUUCCUUGAACUUUGAUUUUGGCUUCCUUCAAUAAACUAGUAUCUCUUUAUCCCUUUGCUUUCCUACAUGUCCUCGAGGUUUAAGUUUUCUCCUGUUAAUGGUAUACGAGAACAAGGUGGAGGAAUGGAUUUGAUGUUUAUGGUAUGUUGGGUUUUGAUACUCAAUAAAUUUGGACGAUGAUUUAAAACAGUUGUCGGAUAAUUUGUCGACACCAUAGACUUGGCUCGACUCGAAUACUACCGACACUUUAGGAAGGCCCAAGUUGGAGUUAGUUUUAUUGUCGAUGGAUAUAUGAGUCUUGGCCCAAUUGUUAUUAAGUUUGCCUUCGUUCUUAAGUGGCCCAUUUACCCAUUGUUGGCCCAAUUAAGUAACUUAAUACCCAUUAUAUAUCAAUCUUCUCCAGCAGCCGUUUCUUAUGGUGUGUGUGCAUGUGGAAGAGAGGAUCGAGAGAGAGAUAGCCGAGAAUGGGAGAGGCAGCCGGCUUGGGGGUUUGUUGGAGUGUAACCUAACAUUGUUGCCUCUUCUUCUUCCUAUUACCACCACCAUCCGUUUCUCUUUAUGGGGUUUGAGAGUUCUUGAAGCAAUCAAAGUGAAGGUUAAAGGUUUGGGUGGAGCCAAGGUAAACUAGUGUUCGUUUGGCUGUUUUCUGAGCCCAGAAUCAAGAUUUCUCGAGAGAUUUCCGCGACAUGGUAGGUUCAAGAGGAGGAAGACCACAGUCAAAAAAUCGAUAUUCAUUCCACUUCUCCCCCUGAAGAGAGAUUUUUUUUAAGUAGUGGAUAGAUUCAAACAAAGUGAUGCUAAGGCUUACAAAUAUCUCAUUCGUGGAAGGAUCAUAGCCUUUUUGUUGGAAAGUAUCCAAUCAAGACACAAUUAAUGGCUCUUGGAUCAAGUUUACUUUGAUAUGAGGAUGAACAUGAACAAAUGCAAUGCAUCCAUAUACUCGUAGAGAUAGAUUGGAGCCGAGGCAAGAGGUAGGGAAGAAUUUUUGAAAUUUUUAAAGGGUAUUUCGAAAUUUAGAGUUUUGUUGAUUAGGUAUUUAAAUGUCAAGCUAGCAUUUCCCCAGAAUACUUUAGGCAUGUUUGUAGUUAACAUCAAGGCACGAGCUACUUCUAGGAGAUGUCUAUUUUUACAUUCAGCCACCCCAUUUUGUUGGGAGUGUCGACGCACGAACUUUGAUGAAUUAUACUAUGUGUUUGAAGGAAGUUCCCCGUGAUUUUAUUGAAGUAUUCUGUGCCAUAAUCAGUGCACAGAAUUUAGAUUUUUUUUCCUGAAAUUAUGCUUGAAUCAUAGAGUGAAAAUUGACAAUCACGGAUCAAUCGUCGAAUCUUUCAUUUAGCAAGUAGAACUAACAGAUUCGAGUAUAAUCAUCAAUAAAGGUAACGAACCAUUUUGUAUAAGUACGGUUAAGGUUUCGUGAGGGCCCCAUAAAUCACUAUGGAUCAUGGUGAAUGAUUUCGAUGAUUUGUAUGUGGAUUUCGGAAAUGAAGCGCAUUGAUGUUUUGUAAAUUCACAGAUUUCACGUCGAAGGUCAACAGAGUUUUUAUUUGGGAAAAUUGAAGGUAAUACACAUUUCAAAUAUUGAAAAUUUGGGUGACCCAGUCUAAAAUGCUAUAACAUAAUUUCUCUAUUUCUAGGGACAAAUGUAGAAUUACAAAGUGUAAUUUCAUGUUGUUUAUUCUCAUCAACUUCUUCAAAAUAGCAGAGUACUUCACACUCCUUAGCAUUGUUAAUUGUCUUUCCCGGUGAUAGUUCCUGAAAAACAUAAUGAGAUGGGAGGGAAGGAAUUUAGCAGAGCACUUAGAAUUUUUUUUCAUCUGACUUACUGAUAAUAAAUUACAAGAUAAAUUUGGAAAACGAAGGAUGGAUUAUAGGAUUAUAGAAUCAGAGAUUUGAAUACUCCAUUUUCCUGCAACUUAUGAGAGUGAUUCAUCUACAAUUUUAACUUUAAGAUUACUAGCACAGGGUUAAGUAUGAGAAAAACCUAUGAUAAGAGUUCAUCAUGUGAUCGGAUGCUUCAGGGAGUUUUAGAUUGAGUGGUAGAUUUUAAGGCUCUCAAAAAAUUACCUUCGUGUUCCAGGGAACUUCACUGACCAUUCGUGGAAGUUUCAUUGGGCUUUUGAAGACUGGACAGAAUUUUGUAGAUUUGCUCUAUCUAUUCGGAAGUAAACUGGCUAUUGUGUAACUCUUGGGGUUUUCUGUUUGAUAAUCGAUCAACGCUCAGUAUCCACGGCUUUUUUUGUUUUGUCUUAAUUUCCAAUUUGUCAGUUUUCCAUGUAAGUCCCAACAUGUGCCCUCUUUAUGUCCCAGCUUCCUACAAUGUUCACACCAGGGUUGCCCUUUUUGUUAUUUUGGGCCUUACCUAUUUGCUGCCCCCUUUAAGUGAAGGCCCAUAGCUUCAGGCCCAACGCCAGAAUUUUUUAGCAACUCAUAUGAAUUUUGGGCUCCAUUUUUUUAUAAACCCAGGUCCAUUACUCGCCAGCCUAAUACCUAGUGGCCUUUGAUAAUAGGGCCGAUACUUCAACUCCAGACCAAUCACUCCACCAAUCUCCUCCAACACGAUUUUUAGUCGAUUUUUCUCUCGUCGAAAACUUCUGUGAAGACAUCCCUCGUGGAUAAUAAUGGCCGACGGUCCAAGAAUUCGACCCCUCACGUCAUCAAGGUUGCGAUGCAGUCCAGCCAAGAACUCGUAUACUCUCUCGUUUUCUAAUUUUUUUCUUGUAAAAGAGAGCUAUCCCCCGGGCAUUCCCAUUCUUCUUCAGAACUCAGGUCGAGUUAUUGCUAGUAUGCUUUCAUCUCCAGAGUCUGACUAUGUCUCCUUGACUGUGUCCCAUACAUCCUUCACGGUUGGUAGAAACAAGUAAGUUUUUCUGAUGAUCGGUUUCAUGGAGUUUAUGAGCCACGCUGUAACCACAGAGUUCUCAAACCUCCACUUUUGAAGAAGUGCAGCGUUGGUGGACUUCUUUGUUUCUCCAAUGAGGUAACUCAAUUUUUCUUUUCCAUCAAUUAUUAACUUGAUCAAUUGAGCCCAUUCUCGAAAGUUCUUCCCAUUUAGUUUUUUGAUUGUUAGUUGAAAAGAUGGAUUUUCCUCGGAACCUGCGGCAGAAGGUGCUUAAAAUUCACCAUUAAGAGAGUCAGAGGUUGCAGAUCCUUCGUUAUUGGUGGUGGCUUCUGUCAUGAUUUUGUUGUUGCCUUGGAGAACCACGGAACUCAUGAUUCGUCCGGUGCUCGAGUAUCCAGACCACGGCUCCCACGAAGACAAAAAACACGACAGUUAAACACC
Molecule: long non-coding RNA, 6033 nt
Organism: Olea europaea var. sylvestris
Lineage: Eukaryota; Viridiplantae; Streptophyta; Magnoliopsida; Lamiales; Oleaceae
Exons: 3
Source: RefSeq, a predicted model, not a curated record